This 267-nucleotide ribosomal RNA is filed under the name uncultured bacterium. RNAcentral's name for it is "partial 16S ribosomal RNA". It matches the Rfam family "Bacterial small subunit ribosomal RNA", at positions 793 to 1055 of the family's 1533-position model. The record is from RNAcentral.
GUCCACGCCCUAAACGAUGCAGGUUUGCUGUUUCGAGUAUCGACCCUCGGAGUGGCGGAGCUAACGCGUUAAACCUGCCGCCUGGGAAGUACGAUCGCAAGAUUAAAACUCAAAGGAAUAGACGGGGACUCGCACAAGCGGUGGAACAUGAGGUUUAAUUCGACAAAGAACGAAGAACCUCACCAGGGUUUGAAAUGCUUAUUGCAAGCUUUUGGAAACAUUAGCCCUUCGCAAGAACAGUAAGCACAGGUGCUGCAUGGUUGUCGU